AUUGAACGCUGGCGGCAUGCCUUACACAUGCAAGUCGAACGGCAGCACGGGAGCAAUCCUGGUGGCGAGUGGCGAACGGGUGAGUAAAGUAUCGGAACGUGCCCAGUCGUGGGGGAUAACGUAGCGAAAGUUACGCUAAUACCGCAUACGAUCUAUGGAUGAAAGCGGGGGAUCGCAAGACCUCGCGCGAUUGGAGCGGCCGAUAUCAGAUUAGGUAGUUGGUGGGGUAAAGGCUCACCAAGCCGACGAUCUGUAGCUGGUCUGAGAGGACGAACAGCCACACUGGGACUGAGACACGGCCCAGACUCCUACGGGAGGCAGCAGUGGGGAAUUUUGGACAAUGGGCGAAAGCCUGAUCCAGCCAUGCCGCGUGCAGGAUGAAGGCCUUCGGGUUGUAAACUGCUUUUGUACGGAACGAAAAGGUUUGGGCUAAUAAGCUGAGCUCAUGACGGUACCGUAAGAAUAAGCACCGGCUAACUACGUGCCAGCAGCCGCGGUAA
This 500-nucleotide ribosomal RNA is filed under the name uncultured bacterium. RNAcentral's name for it is "partial 16S ribosomal RNA". It matches the Rfam family "Bacterial small subunit ribosomal RNA", at positions 30 to 523 of the family's 1533-position model. The record is from RNAcentral.